Long non-coding RNA from Spinacia oleracea (spinach), 886 nucleotides. RefSeq lists it as uncharacterized. NCBI's taxonomy places the organism in Eukaryota, Viridiplantae, Streptophyta, Magnoliopsida, Caryophyllales, Amaranthaceae. The transcript is spliced from 6 exons. The record is from RefSeq and is a predicted model, not a curated record.
AUAAUCCUGUCUUUCUCUCUCCUCAUCUCAAACCGUUUGCCGUGUUUUUACCCGGUCGGUCACCAUCGAAACCCUAGAAAUCCAUACUUUGGUUUCUUCAUCUUCUUCAUGACCCAUGCUCCGACGGUUCUGAUUCGCGAGAUGUGGUCGGCAAAUCUUCCGGUUGUUCGACGCAUUUGCUGCAAUCACGUCUACAAAAAGUUCCUACAUCCACCGCCGAUUCAGUGGUGGUGAUUUUUUUUCCCAUGAUUUCUAUUCUCCUACUCAAUUUUGUCAACGACCGAUACUGGUGCUGCAAAAAGACGACCUCCACAUUUUUUUGUUUCGGUGAGCAGCGAGUUGUAGAUUUCAAUCAAGUGGCAAUUCAUGCUCAUCAGUUUAAGGGGAGUAAUUCUAGGGAGGAGGGUUCUUCUUCUCUGCCUAUCUGUCGCCAUCCAGUUCCAAACAACCAGUGGCACGGUUGCCGAGUUCUGCCAGCUGAAGUUACUAAACUUCUUCAGAAUAAUUGCCUUCUGUCUGAGGUUCUCUGAGAUAUAUCAGGAGAUAGUGGCAAAACCAUUAUAUUCUCUUCUUUCUUCCGUUCAAACAGAUGAUUUCUUCAAACAAUAGCAGAACAUCGCCAAUACAAAAUUCUGGACCAGGAGGAAGGAAUUGAGGUGAACAAUGGAGCAUUUGUGGAUUCUGGGAAGAUUGAUUGCAAGGCUGUUGCUUUUUAUACACGAAUUCGGAAAUUGUAUUCUAAAAAAUGGAUUCGAAUUAAAUUGGAGCUGUCUGACUUUUUAGUUUUCUUUGAUUACCUUAGUGGAUUAUCAAGUUUAGAUACAUCAGUUGCAACAUAAUAAUUUUAAGUUUUUUUAAUACUUUCGCACGCAUCGCGUGCAUAUAA